GAUGAACGCUGGCGGCGUGCCUAAUACAUGCAAGUCGAGCGAACAGACGCGGAGCUUGCUCCUCUGACGUUAGCGGCGGACGGGUGAGUAACACGUGGAUAACCCACCUAUAAGACUGGGAUAACUUCGGGAAACCGGCGCUAAUACCGGAUAAUAUAUUGAACCGCAUGGUUCAGUAGUGAAAGUCGGUUUUGCUGUCACUUAUAGAUGGAUCCGCGCCGCAUUAGCUAGUUGGUAAGGUAACGGCUUACCAAGGCAACGAUGGGUAGCCGACGUGAGAGGGUGGUCGGCCACACUGGAACUUAGACACGGUCCAUGCGCCUACGGGAGGGAGCAGUAGGGAAUCUUCCGCAAUGGGCGAAAGCCUGACGGAGCAGCGCCGCGUGAGUGAUGAAGGUCUUCGGAUCGUAAAACUCUGUUAUUAGUGAAGAACAAAUGUGUAAGUAACUAUGCACGUCUUGACGGUACCUAAUCAGAAAGCCACGGCUAACUACGUG
This 497-nucleotide ribosomal RNA is filed under the name uncultured bacterium. Its description in RNAcentral is "partial 16S ribosomal RNA". It matches the Rfam family "Bacterial small subunit ribosomal RNA", at positions 28 to 507 of the family's 1533-position model. The record is from RNAcentral.